UUGGAGGGCAAGUCUGGUGCCAGCAGCCGCGGUAAUUCCAGCUCCAAUAGCGUAUAUUAAAGUUGUUGCAGUUAAAAAGCUCGUAGUUGAAUUUCGGGAUCAAUUUGCCGGUCGAGACCUCUGGUACGUACUUGUAUUAUUGAUUUCUUUUUAUUCUGAUAAAUCAUGGAUGUCAUUAAUUUGAUGACUAUGAGGAAUCGAAACUUUUACUUUGAAAAAAUUAGAGUGUUUAAAGCAGGCUUAUUAGGCUUGAAUACAUUAGCAUGGAAUAAUGAAAUAGGACGAUUAAUUCUAUUUUUGUUGGUUUCUAGGAUUAAACGUAAUGAUUAAUAGGGAUAGUUGGGGGCAUUAGUAUUCAACUGUCAGAGGUGAAAUUCUUGGAUUUAUUGAAGACUAACUACUGCGAAAGCAUUUGCCAAGGAUGUUUUCAUUAAUCAAGAACGAAAGUUAGGGGAUCGAAGACGAUCAGAUACCGUCGUAGUCUUAACCAUAAACUAUGCCGACUAGGGAUCGGAUGAUGUUAAUUUUUUUUAAUGACUCAUUCGGCGCCUUACGGGAAAC
This 561-nucleotide ribosomal RNA is filed under the name uncultured Glomeromycotina. Its description in RNAcentral is "bacterial SSU rRNA". It matches the Rfam family "Eukaryotic small subunit ribosomal RNA", at positions 548 to 1098 of the family's 1831-position model. The record is from RNAcentral. Lineage: Eukaryota; Fungi; Glomeromycota.